RNAcentral lists this transfer RNA (67 nucleotides) under Marmota monax (woodchuck). RNAcentral's name for it is "tRNA.Ala". Lineage: Eukaryota; Metazoa; Chordata; Mammalia; Rodentia; Sciuridae. The record is from RNAcentral.
GGAUUGUGGCUCAGUGUUAAAGCGCUCAUCUAGCACCGGCGGGACCUGGGUUCGAUCCUCAGCACCA